Molecule: ribosomal RNA, 468 nt
Filed under: uncultured bacterium
Lineage: Bacteria
Description: partial 16S ribosomal RNA
Rfam family: Bacterial small subunit ribosomal RNA
Source: RNAcentral
GACGAACGCUGGCGGCGUGCUUAACACAUGCAAGUCGAACGGAAAGGCCCUGCUUUUGUGGGGUGCUCGAGUGGCGAACGGGUGAGUAACCAGUGAGUAAACUUCCCUUGACUUUGGGAUAACUUCAGGAAACUGGGGCUAAUACCGGAUAGGAGCUCCUGAUGCAUGGUGGGGGUUGGAAAGUUUCGGCGGUUGGAGAUGGACUCGCGGCUUAUCAGCUUGUUGGUGAGGUAGUGGCUUACCAAGGCUUUGACGGGUAGCCGGCCUGAGAGGGUGACCGGCCACAUGGGGACUGAGAUACGGCCCAGACUCCUACGGGAGGCAGAAGUGGGGAAUAUUGCACAAUGGGCGGAAGCCUGAUGCAGCAACGCCGCGUGCGGGAUGACGGCCUUCGGGUUGUAAACCGCUUUCGCCGGUGACGAAGCGUGAGUGACGGUAAUGGGUAAAGAAGCACCGGCUAACUACGUG